GUGGGAUUAGUUUAGUGGUAAAAUACCAGUUUGCCAUACUGGUGUCGAGGGUUCAAUUCCCUUAUCCCACACCA
This 74-nucleotide transfer RNA is filed under the name Caudoviricetes sp. RNAcentral describes it as "tRNA-Gly". It matches the Rfam family "tRNA". Rfam says of the family: Transfer RNA (tRNA) molecules are approximately 80 nucleotides in length. Their secondary structure includes four short double-helical elements and three loops (D, anti-codon, and T loops). The record is from RNAcentral. Lineage: Duplodnaviria; Heunggongvirae; Uroviricota; Caudoviricetes.